RNAcentral lists this ribosomal RNA (253 nucleotides) under uncultured bacterium. Its description in RNAcentral is "partial 16S ribosomal RNA". It matches the Rfam family "Bacterial small subunit ribosomal RNA", at positions 524 to 776 of the family's 1533-position model. The record is from RNAcentral.
UACGAAGGGGGCUAGCGUUGCUCGGAAUCACUGGGCGUAAAGCGCACGUAGGCGGAUUGCUAAGUCAGGGGUGAAAUCCUGGAGCUCAACUCCAGAACUGCCUUUGAUACUGGCGAUCUCGAGUCCGGGAGAGGUGAGUGGAACUGCGAGUGUAGAGGUGAAAUUCGUAGAUAUUCGCAAGAACACCAGUGGCGAAGGCGGCUCACUGGCCCGGUACUGACGCUGAGGUGCGAAAGCCAGGGGAGCGAACGGG